This 460-nucleotide ribosomal RNA is filed under the name uncultured bacterium. RNAcentral's name for it is "SSU rRNA". It matches the Rfam family "Bacterial small subunit ribosomal RNA", at positions 26 to 518 of the family's 1533-position model. The record is from RNAcentral.
AGAAUCAACGCUGGCGGCGUGCCUAACACAUGCAAGUCGAACGAGAAAGUGGAGCAAUCCACGAGUAAAGUGGCGCACGGGUGAGUAACACGUGACUAACCUACCCUUGAGUGGGGGAUAACCUAGGGAAACCUGGGCUAAUACCACAUAAUACCUACGGGUCAAAGGAGCAAUUCGCUUAAGGAGGGGGUCGCGGCCGAUUAGUUAGUUGGCGGGGUAAUGGCCCACCAAGACGAUGAUCGGUAUCCGGCCUGAGAGGGCGCACGGACACACUGGAACUGAAACACGGUCCAGACUCCUACGGGAGGCAGCAGUGGGGAAUUUUGCGCAAUGGGGGAAACCCUGACGCAGCAACGCCGCGUGGAGGAUGAAGUCCCUUGGGACGUAAACUCCUUUCGAUCGGGACGAUUAUGACGGUACCGGAAGAAGAAGCCCCGGCUAACUUCGUGCCAGCAGCCGC